UGGGGAAUAUUGGACAAUGGGCGAAAGCCUGAUCCAGCCAUGCCGCGUGUGUGAAGACGGUCUUCGGAUUGUAAAGCACUUUAAGUUGGGAGGAAGGGCAGUAAGCGAAUACCUUGCUGUUUUGACGUUACCGACAGAAUAAGCACCGGCUAACUCUGUGCCAGCAGCCGCGGUAAUACAGAGGGUGCGAGCGUUAAUCGGAUUUACUGGGCGUAAAGCGUGCGUAGGCGGCUAAUUGAGUCGGAUGUGAAAUCCCCGAGCUUAACUUGGGAAUUGCAUUCGAUACUGGUUAGCUAGAGUGUGGGGUAGGAUGGUAGAAUUCCAGGUGUAGCGGUGAAAUGCGUAGAGAUCUGGAGGAAUACCGAUGGCGAAGGCAGCCAUCUGGCCUAACACUGACGCUGAGGUACGAAAGCAUGGGGAGCAAACAGG
This 429-nucleotide ribosomal RNA is filed under the name Pseudomonadota bacterium. Its description in RNAcentral is "Proteobacteria bacterium partial 16S ribosomal RNA". It matches the Rfam family "Bacterial small subunit ribosomal RNA", at positions 355 to 776 of the family's 1533-position model. The record is from RNAcentral. Lineage: Bacteria; Pseudomonadati; Pseudomonadota.